RNAcentral lists this non-coding RNA (27 nucleotides) under Mus musculus (house mouse). The record is from RNAcentral. Lineage: Eukaryota; Metazoa; Chordata; Mammalia; Rodentia; Muridae.
UGGUUCAGGUCCUCUUUGUCCUCAGAG